Molecule: long non-coding RNA, 418 nt
Filed under: Androctonus crassicauda
Lineage: Eukaryota; Metazoa; Arthropoda; Arachnida; Scorpiones; Buthidae
Source: RNAcentral
GGGAUACACAGGGGAGUUGAUUUUUUAUAAGCACAUGAAACAGACAGUAGAUUUCACACUUUUCAGGACCAUAGUGUUUGUCAUGCUUUAGUUAUAUGUGAGUGAAGUGGCAGAGGAGGUCAUGAGGCAGUUGGAUUCUGACUGUACUGGAACUGACCUUAAAUGAGUAGAGAACAUUCUUGGCCAGAACGUGGCACUGUGUAGAGGCAGCCCCAACACUACCUCUUAAUUGGUUUAUUACAUGUAACUUUCCAUAUUUUCCCUCCCUUUUAAAGUCAGCAGUAUUUUCGUUUUAAAUGUCAUCUUAGAGCCGCUCUACAAAAUGUUCCAACAGACACCACUAAAACUAGACCAUUCCGAAUUCAUGUUCUUUCGAGUUUUAUCCAUUAUCCUUAAAAGUAAGUGCUGUUACACCCAC